UCCUGGGUUUGGAUUUCUGGCAAACUUUUCUGCCUGGACUUUUCCUAGUGUCUCUUGCCAGAGCAAACUCUGGCCCCAUACCAUUGCCUGGCCUCUGGCUGUAGGCUGCUGGCACUGAAUGCAUUGCACAGUG
Molecule: small nucleolar RNA, 133 nt
Organism: Nannospalax galili (Upper Galilee mountains blind mole rat)
Lineage: Eukaryota; Metazoa; Chordata; Mammalia; Rodentia; Spalacidae
Source: Ensembl